Chelonoidis abingdonii (Abingdon island giant tortoise) is the source of this 170-nucleotide unclassified non-coding RNA. The record is from Ensembl. Lineage: Eukaryota; Metazoa; Chordata; Testudines; Testudinidae.
UUCACAGCCGUGGAGAUUGAAGUCCGUCAUCUUGCCAUAGGACAGGGACAGCAUGGGGAGUGGCAGUGCAAGCUUUGCUGCCAAGAUGUGCCAGCAUUUUCCUGAAGGGACCACCUUAAAGAAUGUGAAAGGGUAGCUCAUUUUUCAUGCCAGUUCAAUUCUUGAUCUCA